This 740-nucleotide small RNA is filed under the name Arabidopsis thaliana (thale cress). Its description in RNAcentral is "ATSL087520". Lineage: Eukaryota; Viridiplantae; Streptophyta; Magnoliopsida; Brassicales; Brassicaceae. The record is from RNAcentral.
UAUUAGAUAUCCUUGAUCAUGCGACAUAUAAUGGUCACUAUAAAUUUGUAACACCCCAAAAUUCAAUAAAAUUUUGAGAGUAUUACUAAAAAUAAUAUAAUAAAAAUAUUAACAUUUCAUAAUGUAUAACGUUUAAAAACUCAUUAAAACUCCAAAUCUCGAAAGCAAAAUAAUUUAAAUGUAAAAAAUCUAAGGGGAUUUGCAAAAGUACUAUUAUUUACUACCAUUUUGCAACAAUACACUUUUCUGUUAUCCAUUUUUAAAAAUACCCCUUCUCUUGAACAAAAUGACCAAAUUACCCCCAUCUAAUGAGAACAUCUAAUUAGAAAAUAAAAUUUCUCGCCAGAUUUUGACUCUCUUGUUUUUUUUGUUGUUUUUUUAGAGACAAAAUGUUGAGAUUGUAACUAGUAUAUGAUUGUAAAAUCGAUUAAUUUUGGUCAACAUUCUAGGUAAGUCAAACCGGAUCAGAUAUUAUUGGUUUACUGAUCAGUUCAAUUAGAGGCGUAGUUUUAAGAACAAAUCCGAAAGCAUAUGUAGUUUUAUUGAGAUUAAAGUUUUUUGGUGGUUUUUUCAGAGGCACAAAGUUUGGGAUGGAAUGUUGAGAUUGUAUCUAGGAUAGGAUUGAAAAUUCAGUCAACCCUAUUUUUUUCCUCGACAAAAAGUUUUUUUUCCAGCCAAAAAUGCAUUUAAAAUUCGUGUAACUUUUUUAAGAACCCUUUCAAAACUCGUAGAAAAACCUU